AAUAUUGGACAAUGGGGGCAACCCUGAUCCAGCCAUGCCGCGUGUGUGAAGAAGGACUUCGGAUUGUAAAGCACGUUAAGUUGGGAGGAAGGGCUUGAGGCUAAUACCCUGAAGUUCUCACGCUACCAACUGAAUAAGCACAGGCUAACUCCGUGCCAGCAGCGGCGCUAAUACGAAGGGUGCAAGCGUUAAUCGGAAUUACUGGGCGUAAAGCGCGCGUAGGUGGUUUGUUAAGUUGGAAGUGAAAGCCCCGGGCUCAACCUGGGAACUGCUUUAAAAACUGGCAAGCUAGAGUAUGGCAGAGGGUGGUGGAAUUUCCUGUGUAGCGGUGAAAUGCGUAGAUAUAGGAAGGAACACCAGUGGCGAAGGCGACCACCUGGGCUAAUACUGACACUGAGGUGCGAAAGCGUGGGGAGCAAAC
Molecule: ribosomal RNA, 421 nt
Filed under: uncultured bacterium
Lineage: Bacteria
Description: partial 16S ribosomal RNA
Rfam family: Bacterial small subunit ribosomal RNA
Source: RNAcentral